This 377-nucleotide ribosomal RNA is filed under the name uncultured bacterium. RNAcentral describes it as "bacterial SSU rRNA". It matches the Rfam family "Bacterial small subunit ribosomal RNA", at positions 790 to 1167 of the family's 1533-position model. The record is from RNAcentral.
GUAGUCCACGCCGUAAACGAUGGAUACUUGGUGUUGGAGGUAUUGACCCCUUCAGUGCCGAAGCUAACGCGUUAAGUAUCCCGCCUGGGAAGUACGGUCGCAAGAUUAAAACUCAAAGAAAUUGACGGGGGCCCGCACAAGCGGUGGAGCAUGUGGUUCAAUUCGAUGCAACGCGAAAAACCUUACCUGGGUUUGAAGUGCUAGUGAAUACGGUAGAGAUAUCGUAGGCCUUCGGGACACUAGUAUCAGGUGCUGCAUGGCUGUCGUCAGCUCGUGUCGUGAGAUGUCGGGUUAAGUCCCAUAACGAGCGCAACCCCUGUCUUUAGUUGCCAGCAUUAAGUUGGGCACUCUAAAGAGACUGCCGACGUUAAGUCGGA